GGCGAGAUGGCCGAGCGGUCUAAGGCGCCAGACUAAGGAUCAGGACAUUUGUUGUCCAAUCAAUCUGGUCUUUCGGGGCGUGGGUUCGAAUCCCACUCUCGUCA
This 104-nucleotide transfer RNA is filed under the name Marasmius oreades (fairy-ring Marasmius). It matches the Rfam family "tRNA". Rfam says of the family: Transfer RNA (tRNA) molecules are approximately 80 nucleotides in length. Their secondary structure includes four short double-helical elements and three loops (D, anti-codon, and T loops). The record is from Rfam by way of RNAcentral. Lineage: Eukaryota; Fungi; Basidiomycota; Agaricomycetes; Agaricales; Marasmiaceae.